This is a long non-coding RNA of Varroa destructor (honeybee mite), 1106 nucleotides long. NCBI's taxonomy places the organism in Eukaryota, Metazoa, Arthropoda, Arachnida, Mesostigmata, Varroidae. The record is from RefSeq and is a predicted model, not a curated record.
CUGUCAAAGUCUUAGCUAGUUCAUUGGUUCUGUAGCAAAUGCCGUCAUUGAACGCUAGCUAGCUAACUAACUAGAAAAAAAAAACGAAGAACUCAUGGUGGUAAGUGAGGCAUUUACCAAUGGCGUCGGCACAGCGAGCGAUCGCUGUGACAUUGGUUACGUGGCAAUAUUGUUUUCGAAAUUGGUCACGCGUUAGGUGAUAACUGAAUCGUUGUGGAGUUCAUUAACAAUCGCGGACGGCUCCUUAGCCGCGCGUAAUGGAUCAUAGAGAGGAUAUGAAGAGUUUGUUUUUGUGGCUGAACUGCGGACGAGGUUGUGGCAUGUCGUACGUGAAAGAGAAAAGCGACGACUAAGAGAUUUUCAACGACUUGCAGAAAUAGAACUGAAUUAACCGUAAAAGUCGUGGGGAAAUUUGCCUUCAAGUUACAUCACUCCGCUGCGUCAAGCGGUGGCAAAAAAAGAAUUAGGAGAAGAGGGGAAGAACAAUCACUGAACGGAUGACUGACAGAAAUACAUAUAGAGCUGUAUUUGUUAGUGCACGUCUAUCUCACGGUCUUCUAACGACAAUCUCCAAGCAAUAGCAGAACCUAAGUAUUCCGCAACAAAUGCAAAAUCGAAUGAGAAAUGCUGUCUAUACUUCGUUCGCCGUAGCAAAACCUCGCCAAACUCCUCGCCAGCCUUCAUUUCUCCAUACCUCAUUAUCGAACGCCACCUGCUACUACCCACAACUCUUAGUUUUUAUUAGACAUUUUUCUCCUCUGGUAUAUACCCAGUUCGUUGAACAUUGGCAACACUUAAUCAACAGUCAACGGUAUGCCCAAUUUAGACAGGGCUAACCCCACUGCUGUACUUUGGACCAGGAAUUCAUCAAAUAUUUAUGCUGCCCCCUUAGUCUUUCGUUUAUUCAUGUUUGUUAGUACACUGUAAACUGUCACGCAGCAAUAGUUGCUACUUAAUGAUUAGCUGGCGUAUAGAUUAAUCAAACUAUCGCAGUCUUUUGAUGCCAGUGUGAUCCUACGCGGGUGAAGUAAACUGCCGCAGAAGGAAGCUCGAGAAGCAAUAGGCAAAAAAACGAAUGAGGAGGAAUAAAGGGGGUAAUUUCGUUU